Molecule: long non-coding RNA, 528 nt
Organism: Dermochelys coriacea (leatherback sea turtle)
Lineage: Eukaryota; Metazoa; Chordata; Testudines; Dermochelyidae
Exons: 4
Source: RefSeq, a predicted model, not a curated record
CUUCAUUUUAUUAAAGAUUCCAUGGCACUUUCUUCAAGAAGAGGUGUAUUAACCUCUCUGUCUUGGCCAUAUUCCAUCUUGGGUAUUCUCAUCUAUGUUACUUUUAUAAUUCCGUUUAGCUCUUCAGCGGGGGAUAAGGAGGGCAGAAAAAACUGGAAUGCUGAAUAGUGUUAAAAAAGGCUCCAACCUUCUCCCUUCCUCAUUCAGAACCUUUAAAGAAGCUGUAAUAAUUCUGAUCAUAAACUUUAGAAUCAGGCUGUGGAAGUAGGAGAGAGAUCUAGGCCCCCUAAAAGUCCAGAGUGCAUGUCAGACCUAUCCCCAGCAGAAGAAAUUAGUCACUGGCAUUCAAAAGACUGUUAUGUGUUGUCCUCCUCCCAGGGACUGGUCCUGCUGAGCUGCAUGAAUUGUGAUAGUUUGGGCUUGGAGAGGUUUUGGCCAGCCCCCUUUGUUUUCCUUUACACCUUCUUAGAGUUUAGCUUCACAUCUCUCAACUUUUACAGGCUAUGUGGGGGCAGAGAAGUGUGUAUG